AUUGAACGCUGGCGGCAGGCUUAACACAUGCAAGUCGUGCGGGGUGAUGGUGCUUGCACUAUCACUUAGCGGCGGACGGGUGAGUAAUGCUUAGGAAUCUGCCUAUUAGUGGGGGACAACAUCUCGAAAGGGAUGCUAAUACCGCAUACGUCCUACGGGAGAAAGCAGGGGAUCACUUGUGACCUUGCGCUAAUAGAUGAGCCUAAGUCGGAUUAGCUAGUUGGGGGGGUAAAGGCCUACCAAGGCGACGAUCUGUAGCGGGUCUGAGAGGAUGAUCCGCCACACUGGGACUGAGACACGGCCCAGACUCCUACGGGAGGCAGCAGUGGGGAAUAUUGGACAAUGGGGGGAACCCUGAUCCAGCCAUGCCGCGUGUGUGAAGAAGGCCUUAUGGUUGUAAAGCACUUUAAGCGAGGAGGAGGCUCUUUUGGUUAAUACCCAAGAUGAGUGGACGUUACUCGCAGAAUAAGCACCGGCUAACUCUGUGCCAGCCGCCGCAGUAA
RNAcentral lists this ribosomal RNA (503 nucleotides) under uncultured bacterium. RNAcentral describes it as "partial 16S ribosomal RNA". It matches the Rfam family "Bacterial small subunit ribosomal RNA", at positions 30 to 523 of the family's 1533-position model. The record is from RNAcentral.